AGGGGGGCUAUACUGCAGUCGAACGAACUUCCGUUAAUUGAUUAUGACGUACUUGUACUGAUUGAGAUUUUAACACGAAGUGAGUGGCGAACGGGUGAGUAACACGUGGGUAACCUGCCCAGAAGUAGGGGAUAACACCUGGAAACAGAUGCUAAUACCGUAUAACAGAGAAAACCGCAUGGUUUUCUUUUAAAAGAUGGCUCUGCUAUCACUUCUGGAUGGACCCGCGGCGUAUUAGCUAGUUGGUGAGGUAAAGGCUCACCAAGGCAGUGAUACGUAGCCGACCUGAGAGGGUAAUCGGCCACAUUGGGACUGAGACACGGCCCAGACUCCUACGGGAGGCAGCAGUAGGGAAUCUUCCACAAUGGACGCAAGUCUGAUGGAGCAACGCCGCGUGAGUGAAGAAGGGUUUCGGCUCGUAAAGCUCUGUUGUUAAAGAAGAACGUGGGUAAGAGUAACUGUUUACCCAGUGACGGUAUUUAACCAGAAAGCCACGGCUAACUACGUGCCAGCAGCCGCGGUAAUACGUAGGUGGCAAGCGUUAUCCGGAUUUAUUGGGCGUAAAGCGAGCGCAGGCGGUCUUUUAAGUCUAAUGUGAAAGCCUUCGGCUCAACCGAAGAAGUGCAUUGGAAACUGGGAGACUUGAGUGCAGAAGAGGACAGUGGAACUCCAUGUGUAGCGGUGAAAUGCGUAGAUAUAUGGAAGAACACCAGUGGCGAAGGCGGCUGUCUGGUCUGCAACUGACGCUGAGGCUCGAAAGCAUGGGUAGCGAACAGGAUUAGAUACCCUGGUAGUCCAUGCCGUAAACGAUGAUUACUAAGUGUUGGAGGGUUUCCGCCCUUCAGUGCUGCAGCUAACGCAUUAAGUAAUCCCGCCUGGGGGAGUACGACCGCAAGGGUUGAAACUCAAAAGAAUUGACGGGGGCCCGCACAAGCGGUGGGAGCAUGUGGUUUAAUUCGAACUACGCGAAGAACCUUUACCAGGUCGUGACUCUUCUGACAGUCAAAGAGAUUAGAGUUUCCUUUCGGGACAGAAUGACAGGUGAGUGCAUGGGUUGUCGUCAGCUUCGUGCCUGGC
This 1077-nucleotide ribosomal RNA is filed under the name Pediococcus pentosaceus. RNAcentral describes it as "bacterial SSU rRNA". It matches the Rfam family "Bacterial small subunit ribosomal RNA", at positions 1 to 1070 of the family's 1533-position model. The record is from RNAcentral. Lineage: Bacteria; Bacillati; Bacillota; Bacilli; Lactobacillales; Lactobacillaceae.